RNAcentral lists this small RNA (603 nucleotides) under Rattus norvegicus (Norway rat). Its description in RNAcentral is "uncharacterized LOC108348751". The record is from RNAcentral. Lineage: Eukaryota; Metazoa; Chordata; Mammalia; Rodentia; Muridae.
GAAUUUUUGAACUAUAUACUUUAAUCUGUAAAUUAAAUAUGGUAAUAAGAAGCCAACAUGUUUCUAACUCGGCUGGCAUAGGUUUAUUAGUGUUGAUGAGCGAUAGUAUUUUAUAUUUUGAUCGUUGACAUAAGUCUUGUUUAUUCUAUUUUAUUUUCCUCCAGACAAGAAAUAAAUGCAAGAAAAUUGAGGAAAAUAAGUUUGCUCAUGCAGGUACAAUUUAAAUUGAAGAGCAAUGUUUAGCAGGAUCCACAUUUAUUCUGCCAAGAUGAGAGACUUGCCCACUGAAGGCAAUGUGAUCUGGAGAUAUUUACUCUCAAAUCCAUAGACAUACUGUGGAAAUGCUCAAGAGAAGUGGGAAUAAGAAACUCUGCACCUUUUCUCUGCCUACCCUCUUGCUGAGUUCAAGCCGAUUUUACAACUGUAAGUCAAGAAUAGCAUCAUUUUUCAUCUGUGAAAUCAGACAGUCUCCCAGUAUAAAAAUCUCUGUCACUAUCUCUCACAAAUGCAAAGCAGGAAGAAACAUCUAUAACAGAGCAUGCCCUCUGUGACAGACUCCUGAUCCCCUUCUCUUCUGCCUCGGUGGAGUAGCUAUGUUCUCCU